This 1226-nucleotide ribosomal RNA is filed under the name metagenome. RNAcentral's name for it is "bacterial SSU rRNA". It matches the Rfam family "Bacterial small subunit ribosomal RNA", at positions 267 to 1520 of the family's 1533-position model. The record is from RNAcentral.
ACCAAGGCGACGAUCGGUAGCCGGACUGAGAGGUUGAACGGCCACAUUGGGACUGAGACACGGCCCAGACUCCUACGGGAGGCAGCAGUGGGGAAUAUUGCACAAUGGGGGAAACCCUGAUGCAGCGACGCCGCGUGGAGGAAGAAGGUCUUCGGAUUGUAAACUCCUGUUGUUGAGGAAGAUAAUGACGGUACUCAACAAGGAAGUGACGGCUAACUACGUGCUAGCAGCCGCGGUAAAACGUAGGUCACAAGCGUUGUCCGGAAUUACUGGGUGUAAAGGGAGCGCAGGCGGGAAGGCAAGUUGGAAGUGAAAUCCAUGGGCUCAACCCAUGAACUGCUUUCAAAACUGUUUUUCUUGAGUAGUGCAGAGGUAGGCGGAAUUCCCGGUGUAGCGGUGGAAUGCGUAGAUAUCGGGAGGAACACCAGUGGCGAAGGCGGCCUACUGGGCACCAACUGACGCUGAGGCUCGAAAGUGUGGGUAGCAAACAGGAUUAGAUACCCUGGUAGUCCACACUGUAAACGAUGAUUACUAGGUGUUGGAGGAUUGACCCCUUCAGUGCCGCAGUUAACACAAUAAGUAAUCCACCUGGGGAGUACGACCGCAAGGUUGAAACUCAAAGGAAUUGACGGGGGCCCGCACAAGCAGUGGAGUAUGUGGUUUAAUUCGACGCAACGCGAAGAACCUUACCAAGUCUUGACAUCCUGCGACGGUGCUGGAAACAGUACUUUCCUUCGGGACGCAGAGACAGGUGGUGCAUGGUUGUCGUCAGCUCGUGUCGUGAGAUGUUGGGUUAAGUCCCGCAACGAGCGCAACCCUUAUGGUCAGUUACUACGCAAGAGGACUCUGGCCAGACUGCCGUUGACAAAACGGAGGAAGGUGGGGAUGACGUCAAAUCAUCAUGCCCUUUAUGACUUGGGCUACACACGUACUACAAUGGCGUUAAACAAAGAGAAGCAAGACCGCGAGGUGGAGCAAAACUCAGAAACAACGUCCCAGUUCGGACUGCAGGCUGCAACUCGCCUGCACGAAGUCGGAAUUGCUAGUAAUCGCAGAUCAGCAUGCUGCGGUGAAUACGUUCCCGGGCCUUGUACACACCGCCCGUCACACCAUGAGAGCCGGGGGGACCCGAAGUCGGUAGUCUAACCGCAAGGAGGACGCCGCCGAAGGUAAAACUGGUGAUUGGGGUGAAGUCGUAACAAGGUAGCCGUAGGAACCUGCGGCUG